UACGUAGGGACCAAGCGUUGUUCGGAUUUACUGGGCGUAAAGGGCGCGUAGGCGGCGUGACAAGUCAGUUGUGAAAUCUCCGAGCUUAACUCGGAACGGUCAACUGAUACUGUUGUGCUAGAGUGCAGAAGGGGCAAUCGGAAUUCUUGGUGUAGCGGUGAAAUGCGUAGAUAUCAAGAGGAACACCUGAGGUGAAGACGGGUUGCUGGGCUGACACUGACGCUGAGAUACGAAAGCUAGGGGAGCAAACAGG
RNAcentral lists this ribosomal RNA (253 nucleotides) under uncultured bacterium. Its description in RNAcentral is "partial 16S ribosomal RNA". It matches the Rfam family "Bacterial small subunit ribosomal RNA", at positions 524 to 776 of the family's 1533-position model. The record is from RNAcentral.